CCACUGCUUGUGGCAUGCCAGCCACACUGAGAUCUCAGCCCAACUUCUGUGUUACGCGAACGGGAGGCUAAAAUGGCCAGCGCGUCGCGCAUUUUUCGACGACAUCUGAAUCUGAUUAGAGGGCCCAGGCCUCCAGAACUUCAACUUCAACUUCAACUCGUCCUCGUCCGUCCAUUGCUUCAACAUUGACGUUCGGGGCUGACGGGCACUGGCUCCACACAAGCAACAAGCAGCAACAGAGAGUCAGUGGGCAC
This 254-nucleotide long non-coding RNA is filed under the name Drosophila guanche. The record is from RNAcentral. Lineage: Eukaryota; Metazoa; Arthropoda; Insecta; Diptera; Drosophilidae.